This 460-nucleotide ribosomal RNA is filed under the name uncultured bacterium. RNAcentral describes it as "partial 16S ribosomal RNA". It matches the Rfam family "Bacterial small subunit ribosomal RNA", at positions 338 to 795 of the family's 1533-position model. The record is from RNAcentral.
CCUACGUGUGGCAGCAGUGAGGAAUAUUGGUCAAUGGGCGCGAGCCUGAACCAGCCAAGUCGCGUGAGGGAUGAAGGUUCUAUGGAUCGUAAACCUCUUUUAUAAGGGAAUAAAGUGUGGGACGUGUCCUAUUUUGUAUGUACCUUAUGAAUAAGGAUCGGCUAACUCCGUGCCGGCAGCCGCGGUAAUACGGAGGUUCCGAGCGUUAUCCGGAGUUAUUGGGUUUAUAGGGUGCGUAGGCGGCCUUUUAAGUCAGCGGUGAAAGUCUGUGGCUCAACCAUAGAAUUGCCGUUGAAACUGGGGGGCUUGAGUAUGUCUGAGGCAGGCGGAAUGUGUGGUGUAGCGGUGAAAUGCUUAGAUAUCGCGCAGAACCCCGAGUGCGAAGGCAGCCUGCCAAGCCAUGACUGACGCUGAUGCACGAAAGCGUGGGGAUCAAACAGGAUUAGAUACCCCAGUAGUC